CCUACGGGUGGCAGCAGUAGGGAAUCUUCCACAAUGGACGAAAGUCUGAUGGAGCAACGCCGCGUGAGUGAAGAAGGGUUUCGGCUCGUAAAGCUCUGUUGGUAGUGAAGAAAGAUAGAGGUAGUAACUGGCCUUUAUCUGACGGUAAUUACCUAGAAAGUCACGGCUAACUACGUGCCAGCAGCCGCGGUAAUACGUAGGUGGCAAGCGGUGUCCGGAUUUAUUGGGCGUAAAGCGAGUGCAGACGGUUCAAUAAGUCUGAUGUGAAAGCCUUCGGCUCAACCGGGGAAUUGCAUAAGAAACUGUUGGACUUGAGUGCAGAAGAGGAGAGUGGAACUCCAUGUGUAGCGGUGGAAUGCGUAGAUAUAUGGAAGAACACCAGUGGCGAAGGCGGCUCUCUGGUCUGCAACUGACGCUGAGGCUCGAAAGCAUGGGUAGCGAACAGGAUUAGAUACCCUUGUAGUC
This 465-nucleotide ribosomal RNA is filed under the name uncultured bacterium. Its description in RNAcentral is "partial 16S ribosomal RNA". It matches the Rfam family "Bacterial small subunit ribosomal RNA", at positions 338 to 795 of the family's 1533-position model. The record is from RNAcentral.